UACGGGGGGAGCAAGCGUUGUUCGGAUUUACUGGGCGUAAAGGGCGCGUAGGCGGCCACCGCAAGUCAGUUGUGAAAUCUCCGAGCUUAACUCGGAAAGGUCAACUGAUACUGCGGGGCUAGAGUGCGGAAGGGGCAACUGGAAUUCUUGGUGUAGCGGUGAAAUGCGUAGAUAUCAAGAGGAACACCUGCGGCGAAGGCGGGUUGCUGGGCCGACACUGACGCUGAGGCGCGAAAGCGUGGGGAGCAAACAGG
This 254-nucleotide ribosomal RNA is filed under the name uncultured bacterium. RNAcentral describes it as "partial 16S ribosomal RNA". It matches the Rfam family "Bacterial small subunit ribosomal RNA", at positions 524 to 776 of the family's 1533-position model. The record is from RNAcentral.